This 146-nucleotide ribosomal RNA is filed under the name uncultured eukaryote. Its description in RNAcentral is "partial 18S ribosomal RNA". It matches the Rfam family "Eukaryotic small subunit ribosomal RNA", at positions 1299 to 1458 of the family's 1831-position model. The record is from RNAcentral.
UCGUGGAGUGAUCUGUCUGGUUAAUUCCGCUAACGAACGAGACUCUGACUUGCUGAUUGUAAGGAGCCCGGUGUCCGUAAGGCCCGGGGCAAGUCUGCUUCAGAAGGAGCAGCGUCUACCAAGGCGCGAGAGCGAGAGCAAUAACA